GGAAUAUUGGUCAAUGGACGGUAGUCUGAACCAGCCAAGUCGCGUGCGGGAAGAAGGCCCUCCGGGUCGUAAACCGCUUUAGCCGGGGAGUAACGUGGGGGACGCGUCCCUCAGUGAGAGUACCCGGAGAAUAAGCAUCGGCUAACUCCGUGCCAGCAGCCGCGGUAAUACGGAGGAUGCGAGCGUUAUCCGGAUUUAUUGGGUUUAAAGGGUGCGCAGGCGGCGAGUCAAGUCAGCGGUCAAACUGCGGCGCUCAACGCCGUACCGCCGUUGAAACUGGCGCGCUCGAGUUUGUGCGAGGAUGGCGGAAUGCGCAGUGUAGCGGUGAAAUGCAUAGAUAUUGCGCAGAACUCCGAUUGCGAAGGCAGCUGUCCAGCACACUACUGACGCUCAUGCACGAAAGCGUGGGUAUCGAACA
Molecule: ribosomal RNA, 418 nt
Filed under: uncultured bacterium
Lineage: Bacteria
Description: bacterial SSU rRNA
Rfam family: Bacterial small subunit ribosomal RNA
Source: RNAcentral